Long non-coding RNA from Panicum virgatum (switchgrass), 618 nucleotides. RefSeq lists it as uncharacterized. The record is from RefSeq and is a predicted model, not a curated record. NCBI's taxonomy places the organism in Eukaryota, Viridiplantae, Streptophyta, Magnoliopsida, Poales, Poaceae. The transcript is spliced from 3 exons.
GAUAUGUACGGUGACACCGAGGACGAUAGACCCAUCAUGGGGACUCUCUGGUACGCUCGUCAGAAGAGGUGGGCCCACGUACAGUCUCGUCGGGCAUAUCCUGAAUUUGUGGCUGAGUUUGAUCGGUUGACACCUGAAGACAUCGUGUGGGAGCCCUACUCCGAGUUGGCUAUAAACACUCGUGCACCGAUCGGGAUAUUUUCGGUUUGCUUUCAGGACCAGGCCUUUUGGAUGACAACUACAGCGUUGGUGUACGACCCUUCUCCAACAUGUGGGUGACUAAAUUGUUUUCAAUAUUUAGUUUAUCGAGGACUGAGCAACCCUUCUCCAACAUGUGGGUGACAAGGGUGCAGCCUUGGGUCGAUGGCUGGGACCAGGCAGAGGAGAACGUGGCGCUUGCGACCCCUGCACACACGGAGGCUUCGUACAGGGCGUACCUGAGCUGGUACCAGCCUCAGACUCGUUGCCGCUUGAUAUAUGCUGACAUGCAACCACAGCCGCAUGUUGCGACAGCACAGGAUGGGUACGCACGAUAUAGGGAUGAGGCAUUAGCUGGGGCGUUUGAAAUGUGCAGGUUGAUGGACUUAGAUGCCAGGACGAAUUUGAUGAGGAUUCGAG